RNAcentral lists this long non-coding RNA (579 nucleotides) under Homo sapiens (human). RNAcentral describes it as "long non-coding RNA NONHSAT179870.1". Lineage: Eukaryota; Metazoa; Chordata; Mammalia; Primates; Hominidae. The record is from RNAcentral.
GUGCUGUUCAUCGACGAGGUCCACAUGCUGGACAUCGAGAGCUUCUCCUUCCUCAACCGGGCCCUGGAGAGUGACAUGGCGCCUGUCCUGAUCAUGGCCACCAACCGUGGCAUCACGCGAAUCCGGGGCACCAGCUACCAGAGCCCUCACGGCAUCCCCAUAGACCUGCUGGACCGGCUGCUUAUCGUCUCCACCACCCCCUACAGCGAGAAAGACACGAAGCAGAUCCUCCGCAUCCGGUGCGAGGAAGAAGAUGUGGAGAUGAGUGAGGACGCCUACACGGUGCUGACCCGCAUCGGGCUGGAGACGUCACUGCGCUACGCCAUCCAGCUCAUCACAGCUGCCAGCUUGGUGUGCCGGAAACGCAAGGUGGAUGACAUCAAGCGGGUCUACUCACUCUUCCUGGACGAGUCCCGCUCCACGCAGUACAUGAAGGAGUACCAGGACGCCUUCCUCUUCAACGAACUCAAAGGCGAGACCAUGGACACCUCCUGAGUUGGAUGUCAUCCCCCGACCCCACCCUGUUUUCCACCAGAGUUCUGACACUGUGACUCUGUAUAAAAUGGUUGGGAAGCUGCA